This 1091-nucleotide long non-coding RNA is filed under the name Nicotiana tabacum (common tobacco). Its description in RNAcentral is "long non-coding RNA (NTAB_LNC018885)". The record is from RNAcentral. Lineage: Eukaryota; Viridiplantae; Streptophyta; Magnoliopsida; Solanales; Solanaceae.
CCUCGAGACGCCAUCUCGACGAAUCAUAAGUGGGUGAAAUAAUAGCAAUAGCAACACCAGAAUCGUUGAUUGCAUCCAUAAGAUCUGUUCGAUUUUUCCGGUGAGCUUCGAGGUCAUCGAAAGUUGUUGUCCGAGUUUCCGUUUCAGUCGCAAGCAGGGCCGGAUGGAGGGUAAGGCUGCUCAAGCCAUUGCCUUGGGCCCCAAAUUCUAGAGGGUCCCAAAAAUAUUAUACUAUAUUAUUAUGUAGAAAAAUUAACCCAAAUAGUUAUCCACCCAACCACUUAAAUCAAAAAUAGCCGAUGAAGGUAUAACAUAUGCAUAAUUUAUGUAUUAUAUAUGAAUAAUUGUGUAUAAUCAACGUAUAAUCUAUGUAUAUGAUUAGAAAAAGUAAAUAGUGAAUAUGACCGGCUAUUUGUGUAAAGAUCCCUAUUAUAUAUUAGUAUAUAUCUUAUGCGAUUACUCUUAAGAGUCCAAAUUUUAAUAUUUGGUUAAGAAUGCACAGAUGAGUGAGUAAAGAGCGAUAAAUCUCUGUCUUGUUAGUAGUAUAUUUAUUUUCCUCUUCUGUUCUAAUUUUUCCUCCUUUCACAUGACUUUGAGAUUUCGCUUUCCAAUUUCAAGAUUUGUUUCUUUGAUUUAACUACUUUCUAAUGUUUAAUUGACUCAUUGAUUAGAACAUGAGAUCUUUUGUGUCUCACUGUUACCUGAAUUUUGUGAAAUAGGCCUCUUAAUACAAUUUGGCUUUAGGCCACUAAUUUCGUUGAGCCGCCCCUGAUCGCAAGUCGAGGUACUGUCGUUGGCUUCUGGUUUGAGUUCCGUUCGCGGUUCCGCUUCGAGUUCGCCAACUCUGAUUGGUUUCUGGUUGGAAAUCCAUGUACGCUUCUAAAAGCUUCGACGAAAAUCCGAUUAUGCUAUUCUAAGGUUCAAUUAUUCACUCCUCUGUUCAUUUUGUUCCUAUUUAAUUUUAUGUGUUGUUUUGGCAAUAUGGCUCCUUGCUUCGUGAUCAAUCAUUGCUCUUAGUGAUUUUUUUAUAUUUUUUAUCACUGUUCAAAUCUGCAUGGAUUCAGCUUUGUUUUGAGCAAAUUAAUUAAGGA